This 497-nucleotide ribosomal RNA is filed under the name uncultured bacterium. Its description in RNAcentral is "partial 16S ribosomal RNA". It matches the Rfam family "Bacterial small subunit ribosomal RNA", at positions 28 to 507 of the family's 1533-position model. The record is from RNAcentral.
GAUGAACGCUGGCGGCGUGCCUAAUACAUGCAAGUCGAGCGAACGGACGAGAAGCUUGCCUUUCUGAUGUUAGCGGCGGACGGGUGAGUAACACGUGGAUAACCUACCUAUAAGACUGGGAUAACUUCGGGAAACCGGAGCUAAUACCGGAUAAUAUUUUGAACCGCAUGGUUCAAAAGUGAAAGACGGUCUUGCUGUCACUUAUAGAUGGAUCCGCGCUGCAUUAGCUAGUUGGUAAGGUAACGGCUUACCAAGGCAACGAUGCAUAGCCGACCUGAGAGGGUGAUCGGCCACACUGGAAGUGAGACACGGUCCAGACUCCUACGGGAGGCAGCAGUAGGGAAUCUUCCGCAAUGGGCGAAAGCCUGACGGAGCAACGCCGCGUGAGUGAUGAAGGUCUUCGGAUCGUAAAACUCUGUUAUUAGGGAAGAACAUAUGUGUAAGUAACUGUGCACAUCUUGACGGUACCUAAUCAGAAAGCCACGGCUAACUACGUG